AUGCUUUGGCAGCACAUAUACUACAACUGGAAUGAUACAGAGAAGAUUUGCAUGGCCACUGCUCAAAGCACAGUCUUCUUAAUCUUAGCUAGAAGCAGCAUAUAAUA
This is a small nuclear RNA of Acomys russatus (golden spiny mouse), 107 nucleotides long. The record is from RefSeq and is a predicted model, not a curated record. Lineage: Eukaryota; Metazoa; Chordata; Mammalia; Rodentia; Muridae.